AGAGUGAACGCUGGCGGUAGGCCUAACACAUGCAAGUCGAACGGCAGCACGGUAAGAGCUUGCUCUUAUGGGUGGCGAGUGGGCGGACGGGUGAGGAAUACAUCGGAAUCUACCUUUUGGUGGGGGAUAACGUAGGGAAACUUACGCUAAUACCGCAUACGCCCUUCGGGGGAAAGCCGGGGACCAGCAAUGGCCUGGCGCUGAUAGAUGAGCCGAUGUCGGAUUAGCUAGUUGGUGAGGUAAUGGCUCACCAAGGCGACGAUCCGUAGCUGGUCUGAGAGGAUGAUCAGCCACACGUAGGAACUGAGACACGGUCCACGACUCCGUACGGGAGCGAGCGUAGGUGGGGUAAUAGUUAGGAAC
RNAcentral lists this ribosomal RNA (363 nucleotides) under uncultured soil bacterium. RNAcentral's name for it is "bacterial SSU rRNA". It matches the Rfam family "Bacterial small subunit ribosomal RNA", at positions 26 to 372 of the family's 1533-position model. The record is from RNAcentral.